This 496-nucleotide long non-coding RNA is filed under the name Eucalyptus grandis. RNAcentral describes it as "long non-coding RNA (EGRA_LNC007113)". The record is from RNAcentral. Lineage: Eukaryota; Viridiplantae; Streptophyta; Magnoliopsida; Myrtales; Myrtaceae.
UCACUUAGCUAUUUCAAACUAGUUCCACAUGAACCAGUCUAUGAUCAGGAUAUCGCCAAUCAACGCAAUCACAACUACUCAAAGGAGACCCAAUUCUUCACUCUAAGCAUAAACGAACCAUACACGCACUCAAAAAACAUUAUGUUGAAUCAAUCAUUAGCGUCUCAUCCAGCAACGCUUAAAGGGUCCGACUUUAAGAAGGCAAUCCAACCUUUGCAAGGAGGCACAUGGCUUCUUUGGUGGCGCUCUUCUCCCUCUCUGAGUGCUGUUCCCAUGGCAUCGUCAUCGUCUUCUUCGUCUUCGCUUCUUCAUUUUCUUCUUCUUCCAAUGCUCUUUUCUCUCAGCUCUGAGUCUGUUCCAUAGUCCAACUCAAACUUUGUCUCUGUCCUAAAACAUGGUGAAAGUCCGGCGGUUUUCAUUGUCAGUUGAGGCUCGACCGACCACCCAGUUCACUUUCCAAUGACGACCCGACCCGAUCGUCUUACCCAAACGUUUU